This 71-nucleotide transfer RNA is filed under the name Loxodonta africana (African savanna elephant). It matches the Rfam family "tRNA". From Rfam's summary of the family: Transfer RNA (tRNA) molecules are approximately 80 nucleotides in length. Their secondary structure includes four short double-helical elements and three loops (D, anti-codon, and T loops). Further hydrogen bonds mediate the characteristic L-shaped molecular structure. tRNAs have two regions of fundamental functional importance: the anti-codon, which is responsible for specific mRNA codon recognition, and the 3' end, to which the tRNAs corresponding amino acid is attached (by aminoacyl-tRNA synthetases). tRNAs cope with the degeneracy of the genetic code in two manners: having more than one tRNA (with a specific anti-codon) for a particular amino acid; and 'wobble' base-pairing, i.e. permitting non-standard base-pairing at the 3rd anti-codon position. The record is from Rfam by way of RNAcentral. Lineage: Eukaryota; Metazoa; Chordata; Mammalia; Proboscidea; Elephantidae.
GCAGUGGUGCUUCAGUGGUAGAAGUCUCGCCUUUGGUGUAGGUGACCUAUGUUCGAUUCCCAGCCAAUGCA